This 497-nucleotide ribosomal RNA is filed under the name uncultured bacterium. RNAcentral's name for it is "partial 16S ribosomal RNA". It matches the Rfam family "Bacterial small subunit ribosomal RNA", at positions 28 to 507 of the family's 1533-position model. The record is from RNAcentral.
GAUGAACGCUGGCGGCGUGCCUAAUACAUGCCAGUCGAGCGAACGGACGAGAAGCUUGCUUCUCUGAUGUUAGCGGCGGACGGGUGAGUAACACGUGGAUAACCUACCUAUAAGACUGGGAUAACUUCGGGAAACCGGAGCUAAUACCGGAUAAUAUUUUGAACCGCAUGGUUCAAAAGUGAAAGACGGUCCUGCUGUCACUUAUAGAUGGAUCCGCGCUGCAUUAGCUAGUUGGUAAGGUAACGGCUUACCAAGGCAACGAUGCAUAGCCGACCGGAGAGGGUGAUCGGCCACACUGGAACUGAGACACGGUCCAGACUCCUACGGGAGGCAGCAGUAGGGAAUCUUCCGCAAUGGGCGAAAGCCUGACGGAGCAACGCCGCGUGAGUGAUGAAGGUCUUCGGAUCGUAAAACUCUGUUAUUAGGGAAGAACAUAUGUGUAAGUAACUGUGCACAUCUUGACGGUACCUAAUCAGAAAGCCACGGCUAACUACGUG